UAAAUAAUGAUGAUGAUAUAGUAGUAAAUUUAAGGUGAUAAUAAAUGUGAGGAAUAUGGAUGGGAUUAGUGACGGUGGUAGUAAAGACUAAUUGUUGAAUAGGGAGAGAAACAGCGUAAUGUAAGGCACAAGGAUGAGUUGCCACCAUUGGAAUGUAUUAUUGUGACUAAUGUGGAGCCGAUCUGAUUGGAUGUUUCUUAGAGUGAGUAGUAGCAAGAUUUUAGAGGAGUGCAUAAGCAUGGGUUUUUUGCACAUUUUACAAAACUUACCACCAAUUGAUGUUGCACUAGUAGAGGUUAGAGUUAAGGAGAAGUGGAUGGCAAAAAA
RNAcentral lists this long non-coding RNA (327 nucleotides) under Physcomitrium patens. RNAcentral describes it as "long non-coding RNA (PPAT_LNC010262)". The record is from RNAcentral. Lineage: Eukaryota; Viridiplantae; Streptophyta; Bryopsida; Funariales; Funariaceae.